Molecule: ribosomal RNA, 828 nt
Filed under: Mycobacterium sp. WS_4S
Lineage: Bacteria; Bacillati; Actinomycetota; Actinomycetes; Mycobacteriales; Mycobacteriaceae
Description: bacterial SSU rRNA
Rfam family: Bacterial small subunit ribosomal RNA
Source: RNAcentral
AGACUGGAAUUCCUGGUGUAGCGGUGGAAUGCGCAGAUAUCAGGAGGAACACCGGUGGCGAAGGCGGGUCUCUGGGCAGUAACUGACGCUGAGGAGCGAAAGCGUGGGGAGCGAACAGGAUUAGAUACCCUGGUAGUCCACGCCGUAAACGGUGGGUACUAGGUGUGGGUUUCCUUCCUUGGGAUCCGUGCCGUAGCUAACGCAUUAAGUACCCCGCCUGGGGAGUACGGCCGCAAGGCUAAAACUCAAAGAAAUUGACGGGGGCCCGCACAAGCGGCGGAGCAUGUGGAUUAAUUCGAUGCAACGCGAAGAACCUUACCUGGGUUUGACAUGCACAGGACGCUGGUAGAGAUAUCAGUUCCCUUGUGGCCUGUGUGCAGGUGGUGCAUGGCUGUCGUCAGCUCGUGUCGUGAGAUGUUGGGUUAAGUCCCGCAACGAGCGCAACCCUUGUCUCAUGUUGCCAGCACGUUAUGGUGGGGACUCGUGAGAGACUGCCGGGGUCAACUCGGAGGAAGGUGGGGAUGACGUCAAGUCAUCAUGCCCCUUAUGUCCAGGGCUUCACACAUGCUACAAUGGCCGGUACAAAGGGCUGCGAUGCCGUGAGGUGGAGCGAAUCCUUUCAAAGCCGGUCUCAGUUCGGAUCGGGGUCUGCAACUCGACCCCGUGAAGUCGGAGUCGCUAGUAAUCGCAGAUCAGCAACGCUGCGGUGAAUACGUUCCCGGGCCUUGUACACACCGCCCGUCACGUCAUGAAAGUCGGUAACACCCGAAGCCGGUGGCCUAACCCCUUGUGGGAGGAGCCGUCGACAGGAAGAUACCCCAACCCCCC